GUACUCUCAUGCUCCCGAUGCUUUUGGAUCGGGAGUGGUGGACUUGGGUGUUGCUGCUUUACUGUGGCUCACCUCAAAUGGAGUAGUGCAACUCUUGGUUGGACAUAGUACGGCGUGAUAAGUGUCUUCGCCGGCGCCUCAUUAGAGGGUGGCCGAUCGGGAGCUCUGCGCUUCAAACCGUCUUCGGACAACAUCUGACA
This 200-nucleotide unclassified non-coding RNA is filed under the name uncultured Sebacina. Its description in RNAcentral is "sequence contains ITS2". Lineage: Eukaryota; Fungi; Basidiomycota; Agaricomycetes; Sebacinales; Sebacinaceae. The record is from RNAcentral.